RNAcentral lists this ribosomal RNA (2804 nucleotides) under Pseudomonas syringae pv. syringae. RNAcentral describes it as "bacterial LSU rRNA". It matches the Rfam family "Bacterial large subunit ribosomal RNA". The record is from RNAcentral. Lineage: Bacteria; Pseudomonadati; Pseudomonadota; Gammaproteobacteria; Pseudomonadales; Pseudomonadaceae.
GUUAUAUGGUCAAGUGAAGAAGCGCAUACGGUGGAUGCCUUGGCAGUCAGAGGCGAUGAAAGACGUGGUAGCCUGCGAAAAGCUUCGGGGAGUCGGCAAACAGACUGUGAUCCGGAGAUAUCUGAAUGGGGGAACCCAGCCAUCAUAAGAUGGUUAUCUUGUACUGAAUACAUAGGUGCAAGAGGCGAACCAGGGGAACUGAAACAUCUAAGUACCCUGAGGAAAAGAAAUCAACCGAGAUUCCCUUAGUAGUGGCGAGCGAACGGGGACCAGCCCUUAAGUUGUAUUGAGAUUAGCGGAACGUUCUGGAAAGGACGGCCAUAGUGGGUGAUAGCCCUGUACGCGAAAAUCCCUUUGCAAUGAAAUCGAGUAGGACGGGGCACGAGAAACCUUGUCUGAAUAUGGGGGGACCAUCCUCCAAGGCUAAAUACUACUGACUGACCGAUAGUGAACCAGUACCGUGAGGGAAAGGCGAAAAGAACCGCGGAGAGCGGAGUGAAAUAGAUCCUGAAACCGUAUGCGUACAAGCAGUGGGAGCCCACUUUGUUGGGUGACUGCGUACCUUUUGUAUAAUGGGUCAGCGACUUAUUUUCAGUGGCGAGCUUAACCGAAUAGGGGAGGCGUAGCGAAAGCGAGUCUUAAUAGGGCGUCUAGUCGCUGGGAAUAGACCCGAAACCGGGCGAUCUAUCCAUGGGCAGGUUGAAGGUUGGGUAACACUAACUGGAGGACCGAACCGACUACCGUUGAAAAGUUAGCGGAUGACCUGUGGAUCGGAGUGAAAGGCUAAUCAAGCUCGGAGAUAGCUGGUUCUCCUCGAAAGCUAUUUAGGUAGCGCCUCAUGUAUCACUGUAGGGGGUAGAGCACUGUUUCGGCUAGGGGGUCAUCCCGACUUACCAAACCGAUGCAAACUCCGAAUACCUACAAGUGCCGAGCAUGGGAGACACACGGCGGGUGCUAACGUCCGUCGUGAAAAGGGAAACAACCCAGACCGUCAGCUAAGGUCCCAAAGUCAUGGUUAAGUGGGAAACGAUGUGGGAAGGCUUAGACAGCUAGGAGGUUGGCUUAGAAGCAGCCACCCUUUAAAGAAAGCGUAAUAGCUCACUAGUCGAGUCGGCCUGCGCGGAAGAUGUAACGGGGCUCAAACCAUGCACCGAAGCUACGGGUAUCAUCUUAGGAUGAUGCGGUAGAGGAGCGUUCUGUAAGCCUGUGAAGGUGAGUUGAGAAGCUUGCUGGAGGUAUCAGAAGUGCGAAUGCUGACAUGAGUAACGACAAUGGGUGUGAAAAACACCCACGCCGAAAGACCAAGGUUUCCUGCGCAACGUUAAUCGACGCAGGGUUAGUCGGUCCCUAAGGCGAGGCUGAAAAGCGUAGUCGAUGGAAAACAGGUUAAUAUUCCUGUACUUCUGGUUAUUGCGAUGGAGGGACGGAGAAGGCUAGGCCAGCCUGGCGUUGGUUGUCCAGGUUUAAGGUGGUAGGCUGAGAUCUUAGGUAAAUCCGGGAUCUUAAGGCCGAGAGCUGAUGACGAGUGUUCUUUUAGAACACGAAGUGGUUGAUGCCAUGCUUCCAAGAAAAGCUUCUAAGCUUCAGGUAACCAGGAACCGUACCCCAAACCGACACAGGUGGUUGGGUAGAGAAUACCAAGGCGCUUGAGAGAACUCGGGUGAAGGAACUAGGCAAAAUGGCACCGUAACUUCGGGAGAAGGUGCGCCGGUGGAGGUGAAGCAUUUACUGCGUAAGCCCCUGCCGGUCGAAGAUACCAGGCCGCUGCGACUGUUUAUUAAAAACACAGCACUCUGCAAACACGAAAGUGGACGUAUAGGGUGUGACGCCUGCCCGGUGCCGGAAGGUUAAUUGAUGGGGUUAGCGCAAGCGAAGCUCUUGAUCGAAGCCCCGGUAAACGGCGGCCGUAACUAUAACGGUCCUAAGGUAGCGAAAUUCCUUGUCGGGUAAGUUCCGACCUGCACGAAUGGCGUAACGAUGGCGGCGCUGUCUCCACCCGAGACUCAGUGAAAUUGAAAUCGCUGUGAAGAUGCAGUGUAUCCGCGGCUAGACGGAAAGACCCCGUGAACCUUUACUAUAGCUUUGCACUGGACUUUGAAUUUGCUUGUGUAGGAUAGGUGGGAGGCUUUGAAGCGUGGACGCCAGUCUGCGUGGAGCCAACCUUGAAAUACCACCCUGGCAACUUUGAGGUUCUAACUCAGGUCCGUUAUCCGGAUCGAGGACAGUGUAUGGUGGGUAGUUUGACUGGGGCGGUCUCCUCCUAAAGAGUAACGGAGGAGUACGAAGGUGCGCUCAGACCGGUCGGAAAUCGGUCGUAGAGUAUAAAGGCAAAAGCGCGCUUGACUGCGAGACAGACACGUCGAGCAGGUACGAAAGUAGGUCUUAGUGAUCCGGUGGUUCUGUAUGGAAGGGCCAUCGCUCAACGGAUAAAAGGUACUCCGGGGAUAACAGGCUGAUACCGCCCAAGAGUUCAUAUCGACGGCGGUGUUUGGCACCUCGAUGUCGGCUCAUCACAUCCUGGGGCUGAAGCCGGUCCCAAGGGUAUGGCUGUUCGCCAUUUAAAGUGGUACGCGAGCUGGGUUUAGAACGUCGUGAGACAGUUCGGUCCCUAUCUGCCGUGGACGUUUGAGAUUUGAGAGGGGCUGCUCCUAGUACGAGAGGACCGGAGUGGACGAACCUCUGGUGUUCCGGUUGUCACGCCAGUGGCAUUGCCGGGUAGCUAUGUUCGGAAAAGAUAACCGCUGAAAGCAUCUAAGCGGGAAACUUGCCUCAAGAUGAGAUCUCACUGGAACCUUGAGUUCCCU